This 253-nucleotide ribosomal RNA is filed under the name uncultured bacterium. RNAcentral describes it as "partial 16S ribosomal RNA". It matches the Rfam family "Bacterial small subunit ribosomal RNA", at positions 524 to 776 of the family's 1533-position model. The record is from RNAcentral.
UACGAAGGGGGCUAGCGUUGCUCGGAAUUACUGGGCGUAAAGGGCGCGUAGGCGGCCUGUUAAGUCGAACGUGAAAUCCCCGGGCUCAACCCGGGAACUGCGUCCGAUACUGGCAGGCUUGAAUCCGGGAGAGGGAUGCGGAAUUCCAGGUGUAGCGGUGAAAUGCGUAGAUAUCAGGAGGAACACCUGCGGUGUAGACGGCUUUCUGGACCAUUGCUGACGCUGAGACACGAAAGCGUGGGUAGCAAACAGG